UGGGCUAUGUUUGGCUAUGCCAUAAGACAUGAGAGGGCAUAUCUAAGAAAGACGCUUGAGACAAAGGCCAAGGAUUGAGAGUUGCCCUACUCGGGCGAAGCAAAGGCCAAGUGCACGUGCAUGAGGCGAUGUCAAGCUUGAGGAUAGGACUGUGCAUGCGAUGGCAAUGCUCAGGCCAAGGCAAGGGACAAGUAUGUCCAUAGCCACCCCCAGGAGCGCAUAUGGAUGAGAUCCACGAAUUAAAGGUGCGCCAGAAGAGUUGCUUAUACGUUGGCCAUGUCAGCCGACAUGUUGAAGGAGCGGCACCAAAGGGGGCAAGCCUCUGAGGCGAGCUUCCCACAAGCACAGGAUCGUGCUAAAGACCUGGGAAAUGAGGAAGGCUGGCCCAUAGUUGGGGGAACCAUGGGCACCGCACGGGCAGAAUUGUGUGCCGCUGACGCGUUGAAAAAUGAGCCCGUGACAUCACGCUUCAUCGCACGACAUGAAUACUAAAAGAAGGAAAACUUCCCUAAAUCAUCUCGUAGCCUCUCGCCCAUAAGUAUGGCGUGCUUUACACUCAUUAAUAACACACUACUUAACAUGGAUUUUAGACACCCUAGGAUAUUUUAAACCAGCUCUGAUACCAAGUUUGUCAUGACCCAAGGCUACCCCCUAGUUGCAACACGAUGCUUAAGGUCACAAGUGACUCCAAGCCGUGAAUACUAAAAUAAAAUAACAAAAUAUUGUGUGAAAGUCAUUAAAU
This 742-nucleotide long non-coding RNA is filed under the name Capsicum annuum. Its description in RNAcentral is "long non-coding RNA (CANN_LNC001944)". The record is from RNAcentral. Lineage: Eukaryota; Viridiplantae; Streptophyta; Magnoliopsida; Solanales; Solanaceae.